RNAcentral lists this ribosomal RNA (372 nucleotides) under uncultured organism. Its description in RNAcentral is "bacterial SSU rRNA". It matches the Rfam family "Bacterial small subunit ribosomal RNA", at positions 526 to 896 of the family's 1533-position model. The record is from RNAcentral.
CGUAGGAGGCAAACGUUAUCCGGAUUCACUGGGCGUAAAGCGCGUGCAGGCGGUGCGGUAAGUUGGGUGUGAAAUCUCCCGGCUCAACUGGGAGAGGUCAUUCAAUACUACCGUACUCGAGAGCAGAAGAGGAAGAUGGAAUUCCCGGUGUAGUGGUGAAAUGCGUAGAUAUCGGGAGGAACACCAGUGGCGAAGGCGAUCUUCUGGUCUGUUUCUGACGCUCAGACGCGACAGCUAGGGUAGUAAACGGGAUUAGAGACCCCGGUAAUCCUAGCCGUAAACGAUGUGAACUUGGCGUUGGUGGGUUAAACUCCAUCAGUGCCGUAGCAAACGCGAUAAGUUCACCGCCUGGGGACUACGGCCGCAAGGUUA